AUUGAACGCUGGCGGCAUGCCUUACACAUGCAAGUCGAACGGCAGCACGGGUGCUUGCACCUGGUGGCGAGUGGCGAACGGGUGAGUAAUACAUCGGAACGUACCUUAUCGUGGGGGAUAACGCAGCGAAAGCUGUGCUAAUACCGCAUACGCCCUGAGGGGGAAAGCGGGGGAUCGCAAGACCUCGCGCGAUUAGAGCGGCCGAUGCCUGAUUAGCUAGUUGGUGGGGUAAAAGCCCACCAAGGCGACGAUCAGUAGCUGGUCUGAGAGGACGAGAGGCCACACUGGGACUGAGACACGGCCCAGACUCCUACGGGAGGCAGCAGUGGGGAAUUUUGGACAAUGGGGGCAACCCUGAUCCAGCAAUGCCGCGUGAGUGAAGAAGGCCUUCGGGUUGUAAAGCUCUUUUGUCAGGGAAGAAACACCGGCUCUAACACAGUCCGGGAAUGACGGUACCUGAAGAAUAAGCACCGGCUAACUACGUGCCAGCCGCCGCCGUAA
Molecule: ribosomal RNA, 501 nt
Filed under: uncultured bacterium
Lineage: Bacteria
Description: partial 16S ribosomal RNA
Rfam family: Bacterial small subunit ribosomal RNA
Source: RNAcentral